Molecule: ribosomal RNA, 483 nt
Filed under: uncultured bacterium
Lineage: Bacteria
Description: bacterial SSU rRNA
Rfam family: Bacterial small subunit ribosomal RNA
Source: RNAcentral
AUUGAACGCUGGCGGCAUGCCUAACACAUGCAAGUCGAACGGCAGCACAGCAGUAGCAAUACUGUGGGUGGCGAGUGGCGGACGGGUGAGGAAUACGUCGGAAUCUGCCCAGUCGUGGGGGAUAACUAGCCGAAAGGUUAGCUAAUACCGCAUACGACCGAGAGGUGAAAGCGGGGGGACCGCAAGGCCUCGCGCGAUUGGAUGAGCCGACGUCGGAUUAGCUAGUUGGCGGGGUAAAGGCCCACCAAGGCGACGAUCCGUAGCUGGUCUGAGAGGAUGAUCAGCCACACUGGAACUGAGACACGGUCCAGACUCCUACGGGAGGCAGCAGUGGGGAAUAUUGGACAAUGGGCGCAAGCCUGAUCCAGCAAUGCCGCGUGAGUGAAGAAGGCCUUAGGGUUGUAAAGCUCUUUCGCCUGCGACGAUGAUGACGGUAGCAGGAGAAGAAGCCCCGGCUAAUUCCGUGCCAGCAGCCGCGGUAAU